CUUCUUCGGGGAUGGGUGAAAUUCCCUACCGGCGGUAAAGCCCGCGAACUGAGCCUUGGCUCAGCCGACCCGGUCAGAUUCCGGGGCCGACAGUACAGUCUGGAUGAGAGAAGA
This 114-nucleotide non-coding RNA is filed under the name bovine gut metagenome. RNAcentral's name for it is "FMN riboswitch (RFN element)". It matches the Rfam family "FMN riboswitch aptamer (RFN element)". From Rfam's summary of the family: The RFN element is a highly conserved domain that is found frequently in the 5'-untranslated regions of prokaryotic mRNAs that encode for flavin mononucleotide (FMN) biosynthesis and transport proteins. This element is a metabolite-dependent riboswitch that directly binds FMN in the absence of proteins. In Bacillus subtilis, the riboswitch most likely controls gene expression by causing premature transcription termination within the 5' untranslated region of the ribDEAHT operon and precluding access to the ribosome-binding site of ypaA mRNA. The record is from RNAcentral.